UACGUAGGGCGCAAGCGUUAUCCGGAAUUAUUGGGCGUAAAGAGCUCGUAGGCGGUUUGUCGCGUCUGCCGUGAAAGUCCGGGGCUCAACUCCGGAUCUGCGGUGGGUACGGGCAGACUAGAGUGAUGUAGGGGAGACUGGAAUUCCUGGUGUAGCGGUGAAAUGCGCAGAUAUCAGGAGGAACACCGAUGGCGAAGGCAGGUCUCUGGGCAUUAACUGACGCUGGAGGAGCGAAAAGCAUGGGGAGCGAACAGG
RNAcentral lists this ribosomal RNA (255 nucleotides) under uncultured bacterium. Its description in RNAcentral is "partial 16S ribosomal RNA". It matches the Rfam family "Bacterial small subunit ribosomal RNA", at positions 524 to 776 of the family's 1533-position model. The record is from RNAcentral.